RNAcentral lists this ribosomal RNA (424 nucleotides) under uncultured bacterium. RNAcentral describes it as "bacterial SSU rRNA". It matches the Rfam family "Bacterial small subunit ribosomal RNA", at positions 355 to 776 of the family's 1533-position model. The record is from RNAcentral.
UGAGGAAUAUUGGUCAAUGGAGGCAACUCUGAACCAGCCAAGUCGCGUGAAGGAUGAAGGUCUUAUGGAUUGUAAACUUCUUUUAUACAGGAAUAAAUUGAGUCACGUGUGGCUUUUUGCAUGUACUGUAUGAAUAAGGAUCGGCUAACUCCGUGCCAGCAGCCGCGGUAAUACGGAGGAUCCGAGCGUUAUCCGGAUUUAUUGGGUUUAAAGGGUGCGCAGGCGGGAUGUUAAGUCGGCGGUGAAAUUUUGCGGCUCAACCGUAAAAGUGCCUUCGAAACUGGCAUUCUUGAGUAUGGAUGAAGUAGGCGGAAUUUGUGGUGUAGCGGUGAAAUGCUUAGAUAUCACGAGGAACUCCGAUUGCGCAGGCAGCUUACUAAACCAUAACUGACGCUCAUGCACGAAGGCGUGGGGAUCAAACAGG